AGCUUUGUGCAGUGGCAGUAUCUAGCCAAUGAGGUUUAUCUGAGGCGCGAUUAUUGCUAAUAGAAAUUAGGCUAAAUAAAUGGGCAUUUAUUUUCUGGGGGAAAAAACCCCAACUAUGUUAUCCUAAAUCAAAUAACUCCAGG
Small nuclear RNA from Nyctereutes procyonoides (raccoon dog), 143 nucleotides. RefSeq annotates it as U4 spliceosomal RNA. Lineage: Eukaryota; Metazoa; Chordata; Mammalia; Carnivora; Canidae. The transcript has a single exon. The record is from RefSeq and is a predicted model, not a curated record.